UGCAGCACAUUGCAUCCAGUGGACCCAACGCGCAAACUCCAUUUUCUGUCGGACUUUCCUCACUUAAUUAAGUGCCUGAGGAAUGGACUACUAAGGUCGGACUACGAAACACCUGAGGGCCGGGUAUCUUUACAAUUCGUACGCAAAGCUUUGGAACUGGAUGGUUGCAGUGUCACAUUGCAGGCAAUGCAUGGAAUCACCGGAAGCCACACGAACCCCAACAAUUUUGAAAAGAUGAGAGUAUCUUUAGCUUUUCAGCUUUUCGGAGAAAAAGUGAUUCAUGGUCUGCAGCUGUACAAGUCAGGAAUUGAAGAUACCUGUGGUGACAUCACAGCUACACUAAAGUUUUUCAAGAUCAUCCAUGACCUUGUGCAAAUGAUGACUUCAUGAUUUCCAGCUGAAGCGCUGCGCUUAAGUUCAGCAAGUGUUGAGAAGCUGCGAUCGUUUCAGGAGUAUCUUUCAUCAUGGGAAGACCACACGAAGGGGCAGAUAGGAUUCCUGAGCCAGUCAACAGCAGCUGGGCUGCGAGUGACAGUGUCAAGUGUGCUUUCUUUGCUUCAGUAUCUCACUGAGAAACUAGGCUACAGGUACCUAAUGACAUCUAGAGUAAGCCAAGAUCCUGUUGAGCAUGUUUUUGGCAUUGUCAGGCAGUCCUCUGGAUGUAACACGCACCCAACACCACAGCAGUUUAUUAGCACUAUCAACUGCUUGAGCUUCAACAAUCUUGCUCACUCAGCUUCAAAGGGAAACUGUGAGCCUGCAGUGCUCCAUGCCCUUCUACCCGCAAAUUCAGGUGCUAAAAAUGUUCCAUCUGGUAAACAGCGCUUAAUGGACAAGUUUAUAAACAGUGACAAUGUAGCUGCCGUGCAGAGCUCGCUCCCACAGAGUGCGCCAGACCAUGCGUCAUGCAUUAUAUCUGCCAGGGACAACCGGCUAACAUUUUAUAUAGCAGGAUAUGUAGCUAGAAAAUGCCUACUGAAGUCUGGCUGCGCAGAGUGCCGUAAACUUCUUCUAAUGCAAAAGGAGUCUGCUGAAAGUCUCAAACACCUUGCGCAAUUGACACACAUGAAAGACAGAGGUGGCCUGCUUUAUCCGUCUAGCCUGUUUUUUAAGUUUGUUCAUGAUUUAGAAAAAGCCUUCACAACGUGUUUCAGUUUGCUGGAGCUGCACGCUGAUAGCAUACUCGACAUUUUAAGCGAAGUUAAGGCAAA
This is a long non-coding RNA of Rhipicephalus microplus (southern cattle tick), 1211 nucleotides long. The record is from RefSeq and is a predicted model, not a curated record. Lineage: Eukaryota; Metazoa; Arthropoda; Arachnida; Ixodida; Ixodidae.